GACGAACGCUGGCGGCGUGCUUAACACAUGCAAGUCGAACGAGAAGAGAUGAGAAGCUUGCUUCUUAUUAAUUCGAGUGGCAAACGGGUGAGUAACGCGUAAGCAACCUGCCCUUCAGAUGGGGACAACAGCUGGAAACGGCUGCUAAUACCGAAUACGUUCUUUUUGUCGCAUGGCAGAGGGAAGAAAGGGAGGCUCUUCGGAGCUUUCGCUGAAGGAGGGGCUUGCGUCUGAUUAGCUAGUUGGUGAGGUAACGGCCCGACCAAGCCGACGAUCAGUAGCCGACCUGAGAGGGUGACGGCCACAUUGGAACUGAGACACGGUCCAGACUCCUACGGAGGCAGCAGUGGGGAAUCUUCCGCAAUGGGCGAAAGCCUGACGGAGCAACGCCGCGUGAGUGAAGAAGGCCUUCGGGUCGUAAACGUUCUAUC
This 431-nucleotide ribosomal RNA is filed under the name uncultured bacterium. Its description in RNAcentral is "bacterial SSU rRNA". It matches the Rfam family "Bacterial small subunit ribosomal RNA", at positions 28 to 437 of the family's 1533-position model. The record is from RNAcentral.